This 921-nucleotide ribosomal RNA is filed under the name uncultured Bacteroidota bacterium. RNAcentral's name for it is "bacterial SSU rRNA". It matches the Rfam family "Bacterial small subunit ribosomal RNA", at positions 1 to 917 of the family's 1533-position model. The record is from RNAcentral. Lineage: Bacteria; Pseudomonadati; Bacteroidota.
UUCCAGACUUUGAUUAUGGCUCAGGAUGAACGCUAGCUACAGGCCUAACACAUGCAAGUCGAGGGGAAACGGCAGCUUAGCUUGCUAAGCUGGACGUCGACCGGCGCACGGGUGAGUAACGCGUAUCCAACCUGCCCCACGGUGAGGGAUAACCCGCGGAAACGCGGCCUAAUACCUCAUGGUCUCCGAGUUUGCCAUCAACCUUGGAGUAAAGAUUCAUUGCCGUGGGAUGGGGAUGCGUCUGAUUAGCUUGUUGGCGGGGCAACGGCCCACCAAGGCUACGAUCAGUAGGGGUUCUGAGAGGAAAGCCCCCCACAUUGGAACUGAGACACGGUCCAAACUCCUACGGGAGGCAGCAGUGAGGAAUAUUGGUCAAUGGGCGAGAGCCUGAACCAGCCAAGUAGCGUGCAGGAAGACGGCCCUAUGGGUUGUAAACUGCUUUUAUGCGGGGAUAAAGCGGGCGACGUGUCGCCCUUUGCAGGUACCGCAUGAAUAAGGACCGGCUAAUUCCGUGCCAGCAGCCGCGGUAAUACGGAAGGUCCGGGCGUUAUCCGGAUUUAUUGGGUUUAAAGGGAGCGCAGGCCGGGUAUUAAGCGUGUUGUGAAAUGUAGGCGCCCAACGUCUGCACCGCAGCGCGAACUGGUGCCCUUGAGUACGCACGACGUUGGCGGAAUUCGCCGUGUAGCGGUGAAAUGCUUAGAUAUGGCGAAGAACUCCGAUUGCGAAGGCAGCUGACGGGAGCGCUACUGACGCUCAUGCUCGAAAGCGCGGGUAUCGAACAGGAUUAGAUACCCUGGUAGUCCGCGCGGUAAACGAUGGAUGCCCGCUAUUUGCGCAUUAGCGCAAGUGGCCAAGUGAAAACGUUAAGCAUCCCACCUGGGGAGUACGCCGGCAACGGUGCAACUCAAAUGAAUUGACGGA